AAUUAUAUCAUUGGACUUGACUACUCCAUUUCUUUCCACAUUUAAAAAUCGCACUCUCUUACCAAGUGAGUGGUUGGACCAAGACAGUGUCUCGAGAUUGAAACAGAACACGAUGGAGCUGGAAGUUAUAGUUCAGAGAUCAUCAGGAAUCAGAGUCAAAUCAUUAACUAGUGAUUAUGUGCCACACAAGAAAUCCUCUCUGGGUUAGAAAUCUUAAAAUAAGAAGCUGUUAUAUACAUUUGUCGAGAUAAAAUUAUUGAUUGGUAUUUAUAAGACUUUGAUUUCAUAAACUUAAUAGACUACAUAUGUAACUUAGGAUAUAAUUUCAAAAAUCUAGCCACAGCACAUUUGUGUGUUUCAACAAAGUAAUGGCUUUUUUGGUAUUAGAAUAAAUACAGUUACCUUGUGAGAAAUUGAUUGAUCUAACUACUUGUGAACAGGAGAAAGAAACGUUGUUAAUUAGAGGCCAUCUGAUGCAAGUGUGAUCUGGCCAGAAUUUUGUUUAACAUGUGGAAUGCUUAUAAAUUAUCUGAGUUUGCACAUUAACCUUUAUUGCGGAGUCUCCCAGCAUACUCAUUAGAUCAGCCAAAUGAGGUACACAAGCAAACUC
RNAcentral lists this long non-coding RNA (610 nucleotides) under Pan troglodytes (chimpanzee). RNAcentral's name for it is "long non-coding RNA NONPTRT010080". The record is from RNAcentral. Lineage: Eukaryota; Metazoa; Chordata; Mammalia; Primates; Hominidae.